AAAUAAUAUAAAUUGGAUCUGGAAGGGACUUCAGAAAUUGUCUGCUAAAAUUAUAAUAAGCGACUGAGUUUUCUCAAGGCUUCUGUUCCAGUACAGACCCACUGAAUAAAUGGUAGGUACUUAGAAAUGUUUAGCAUACAAAUUUUCUGCAGUUCAGUAGCCAACACAACCCAGUGAGCUCUUCCGAGAAUUUAACAAUUUACCUGGUUAUAGGAAUUAUGGGAAUAGAAAGUACUAAAAACUUAACCUUCACUGAGUAUAUUGAAUACUUCUGCAGUCUUAUUACUAGUGCUUUUAUUAGGAUCAAGACUCUGAGCUCUGCUUUGAAGUGAAUGGAAAGCCAAGAGAGCCACAAAGUAAAUCUUCACAUCAGUCUUCAUUGCUAAUGAGGUAUAUAUGAGCAAAUAGAAGGGAGAUGGGAUCGAUAAGUCUAAGCAACAAAGAAGUGGACUGUAAAACCUGACAAUGUGCAGCCAAAUAAGGAAAAUCACCAUCAAACAUGUUUUAAAAGUACAUUCAUUCACAUCAAAGGAAGUCCAAGUACAAGAGGGACAGCUUGGACACUUGAAUCUAGUAUAGAAUCCAGGCUUCAAGAAAGACAUCUGCCAUAGGCGACAGAACACCUGCACUGCAGUCUUCUCUCCAACCAGUCUGCAUUCCUGCCAAGAAAAGGAUAAUCAUUUCUUCCCAGAACAAGGAUGAUCUAGAGUGGUUGACCAGCCUGCUUUCCUAUAGUUACAUAUCUCUUUGUACCUUAUUGAUUAUCCAAGGAGUGGCAUGAAGUACUUAGAAAAAUAUUAAAUUUUGCUAAAAUAUUGAUCUUCAGAGACCCCAG
Molecule: long non-coding RNA, 835 nt
Filed under: Coturnix japonica (Japanese quail)
Lineage: Eukaryota; Metazoa; Chordata; Aves; Galliformes; Phasianidae
Description: lncRNA (ENSCJPG00005000294.1)
Source: RNAcentral